This 425-nucleotide ribosomal RNA is filed under the name uncultured bacterium. RNAcentral describes it as "partial 16S ribosomal RNA". It matches the Rfam family "Bacterial small subunit ribosomal RNA", at positions 359 to 776 of the family's 1533-position model. The record is from RNAcentral.
GAAAUUUGGACAAUGGGCGAAAGCCUGAUCCAGCAAUGCCGCGUGCAGGUUGAAGGCCUUCGGGUUGUAAACUGCUUUUGUACGGAACGAAAAGCUUUGGGUUAAUACCCUGGAGACAUGACGGUACCGUAAGUACACGCACCGGCUAACUACGUGCCAGUAGCCGCGGUAAUACGUAGGGUGCAAGCGUGAAUAGGAAUUACUGGGCGUAAAGCGUGCGCAGGCGGUUUUGUAGGACAGGGGUGAAAUCCCCGGGCUCAACCUGGGAACUGCCUUUGUGACUGCAAGGCUAGAGUACGGCAGAGGGGGGUGGAAUUCCGCGUGUAGCAGUGAAAUGCGUAGAUAUGCGGAGGAACACCGAUGGCGAAGGCAACCCCCUGGGCCUGUACUGACGCUCAUGCACGAAAGCGUGGGGAGCAAACAGG